AUUCAGCUGACGAGUCCUAGAUAGAGCGAAACGCGCGUCCUGGAU
This 45-nucleotide non-coding RNA is filed under the name Schistosoma margrebowiei. Lineage: Eukaryota; Metazoa; Platyhelminthes; Trematoda; Strigeidida; Schistosomatidae. The record is from RNAcentral.